ACUUCGGGAAACCGGAGCUAAUACCGGAUAACAUAUUGAACCGCAUGGUUCAAUAGUGAAAGGCGGCUUUGCUGUCACUUAUAGAUGGAUCCGCGCCGUAUUAGCUAGUUGGUAAGGUAACGGCUUACCAAGGCAACGAUACGUAGCCGACCUGAGAGGGUGAUCGGCCACACUGGAACUGAGACACGGUCCAGACUCCUACGGGAGGCAGCAGUAGGGAAUCUUCCGCAAUGGGCGAAAGCCUGACGGAGCAACGCCGCGUGAGUGAUGAAGGUCUUCGGAUCGUAAAACUCUGUUAUCAGGGAAGAACAAAUGUGUAAGUAACUGUGCACAUCUUGACGGUACCUGAUCAGAAAGCCACGGCUAACUACGUGCCAGCAGCCGCGGUAAUACGUAGGUGGCAAGCGUUAUCCGGAAUUAUUGGGCGUAAAGCGCGCGUAGGCGGUUUUUUAAGUCUGAUGUGAAAGCCCACGGCUCAACCGUGGAGGGUCAUUGGAAACUGGAAAACUUGAGUGCAGAAGAGGAAAGUGGAAUUCCAUGUGUAGCGGUGAAAUGC
RNAcentral lists this ribosomal RNA (556 nucleotides) under Staphylococcus warneri. Its description in RNAcentral is "bacterial SSU rRNA". It matches the Rfam family "Bacterial small subunit ribosomal RNA", at positions 146 to 689 of the family's 1533-position model. The record is from RNAcentral. Lineage: Bacteria; Bacillati; Bacillota; Bacilli; Caryophanales; Staphylococcaceae.